Molecule: long non-coding RNA, 3155 nt
Organism: Bos taurus (domestic cattle)
Lineage: Eukaryota; Metazoa; Chordata; Mammalia; Artiodactyla; Bovidae
Source: Ensembl
ACCCUGCCAACCCCACCCCACUGUCAGGGUCCCAUAUCAGCCUCUAAGCCUCUACUUCUCUGCUAAGUGGGAGGUCUCCCUGCUUCCCACCGGAUGUGGAUCCUGGCCCAGUUAAUCACUUUAUUUGACUGCACCGGGUCCUCAUUGUGGUGCGUGAACUCCUGGUUAAGCAUGUGGUUUCCUGACCGGGAUCAAACCCAGGCCCCUGCGCUGGGAGGGCGCAGUCUUAACGUCUGGACCACCACAGGAAGUCCUUACUUUAUUUCUAAUUUCCCUUCACUUGCUCUUUCCUUUGACAGCUUAAAAAAUGGGAAGACCUUUUCAGCAAAGCAAAAGAAACAAGUCACAACUUAGGUGUGAAUUAAAUGCGACACAUUUUAAAUACACCCCAACCACGUUUGAUUUUCCCCUUGUCUUUACUUCUGCAUACAGCAUUAAUUUAUCAGAAAUCAUGAUACUGUGGCUUUGACUUGGCUUUGUCCUAAAAAGAUUUCUCGUUCAGGGCCCUGGAGGCUGCCCCAAGGCCCAGAAGGGGAAUCUGCUGGACACUGACCCCGGGCCUGUCGGCCUGGCCGGCCGGGCCUUGCCUUCUGCACUCCCUGUAGGUGGUGAGUCUGCUGGACGGUGGGCCUAGACACUGACCCUGGGCCUGUCAGCCUGGCCGGCCGGGCCUUGCCUUCUGCACUCCCUGAAGGUGCUGAGUCUGCUGGACGGGGUGGGGGGCCUGGACACUGACCCCAGGCCUGUCAGCCUGGCCGGCGGGGCCUUGCCUUCUGCGCUCCCUGUAGGUGGUGAGUCUGCUGGACGGUGGGCUUAGACACUGACCCCGGGCCUGUCAGCCUGGCCGGCCGGGCCUUGCCUUCUGCGCUCCCUGUAGGUGGUGAGUCUGCUGGACGGGGUGGGGGGCCUGGACACUGACCCCGGGCCUGUCGGCCUGGCCGGCCGGGCCUUGCCUUCUGUGCUCCCUGAAGGUGGUGGUCCAGGAAGACGGGCCCUGACGCCUCCUCUUCCCAGACGCCUUUCCCCGAGCUUGAGCCUCUCUCCUCCGUGUGCUCUGCGGGCUUCCCGGUGUCUUUACGUGGCUUUGGCCGUUUACCCCGUGUUGGUGACUGCCGUCUCUGAGAAGGGGCCUGUGUCCAUGUUACCGCCUGCCGUUCUUUGUUUGAUUUUGGUGGGGCAAGUGCUUUCCUGUGAAUCUUCUUAAAAGUAUCCUUAACUAUUUUAAUAUACGUAUAUUUAUUUUUUCAGAUUCAAAGCCACUCCUUCAGAGUGAAGACAUUAAGGUCGACCUGACUGCCCCCAGGAGUUUCCUUGUGCAGCAAGCUCAGGGAUUUCCCUCCAAAAUCCUGUGAAAGCCGCUGGGUCUCCGAGGACCAGGCCUUCUUUCAGAGGAGAGGAGCUGCUUGUCUCUGAAGCAGCUCAGCAGGGGAAGGACUAUUUGCAUUGGGUUUUGUUUAAUUUGCCCGAGCCAAGCACACCGAGUCCAUUUGCCAUCACAUUAUCUAAGACAGCUCCAGAGCUUCUCAUUCUAGGAUCAAUUCCAUCCCGGAGUGACAUCCACUUAACACCCAGGGCCCCAUGCUUUUAGCUGAAUAAAGGUCAGGCCGUCCGCCGUCUCGGUGGCCGCCCAUCAUCGCAAGGGACGAGAGGCCCCCCAGGGAAGGUUAACGGAUGCAAAGCUCCGGGCUCACCUCCGCAAGCAGGAGACAUUUCCAUUUUUACUCCGUUUGGUGGGUGGGUAUUUAUGCUUUUCACUUUUAACCACUCCGUUUAGGGCGUUCACCUGGGAAACACCGUCUUGCAGGGGACCAAAGCCAUCCUUUGCCAGAAAUCUCCGCUCUGAUGAUCUGCAGAUGUGUGAACCCCGCGCCCAGUGGAAGUGGAGACGAUAAGUUAAUAGACCACAGCCCCCCUUCCAGUCACUUCUCGGAACCACAUGCGUUUUAAUUAACCCUUGUUGAUGGAACGGGGAGGGGCUGCAAGGACCCUCCUGGCGUCUCUCCCUGGGACUCACUGAGGGAAUGAGCCUGCGAUGCACAGUGAGGCUGCAGCUCCUCCGGGGACCUGGCAUGCCCGUGCCCUCUGCAGACGGCGGCACGGCCUUGGUCCUCUCUGCCCGCAGCUGAGCAUCUCUCUAGUCCACCCGCGGGCGCCGUUCCAGGCGGCGCUGGGCCCGGAAACUCCGAAGACUCGCUCAGGCUGCAGGCUGGCGUCCUGGGUUCUGCCUCGGCAUCCAGGGCCGCGCGGGUGUUUCUGCGUUUGCCUGUGACCGCGUGUCCUCAGGAGGGCUGCGAGAGGCCCCUCCGCAGGUGUGGGGUCCUUCUCAGAGUCCACUCCGGAGCUGACCCCCUUGUCUGGGCCGACCAUCACCUGGGCUUCCUUCUCCCACGCUGGCUUCUCAUUCGUGACCAUCUGUAAUAAGACGAUCCGUUUUCAUGUUUUAGUUCUGUUUCCCAGCCAUGUGCUCGGUGAUCUUCGUGGCAGUUCCUCCCGUCUGAUUCUCGUGGGUUUCCCGGGAGCCUGGGGGUAAUUCAGCUCCUUCUUCCUGUUUUAACCCUCUGAUCUGCCCCCCACCCCCAACAGAUAGUUCAAAAGGGUAAUGGCUCCAGUGGGGGUGGCACAGCCCCCCGACCACCACCGGGCUCCUGGGGGGGAGUGGUCCCUGAGGACGAGUCGCCUGCCCCUCAUCCCCUGGAUAGCGCCUGUCUACAGCAGCAACAGCCACAGAGAGGGGGGCGUGAUUCUUCUCCUUACGCCUCCCGGAUUGAUGACUUUUAGAAACAAUUUUACUUAUUUGUUACUUUGGCUGCGCUGGUUCAUCAGCGCUGCUGGGGCUUUUCUCUCCUUGCUGCACGCAGGCUUCUCAUUGCAGCGGCUCCUGUAGGUUUGCAGCGCGGGCUCUGAGGCAAGCGGGCUUCGUAGCUGCAACACGUGGGCUGAGUGGGUUCGGCUCCCAGGCUCAGGAUCACAGGCUCAGGAGUUGUGGUGCCUGGGCUCAGCUGUGCUGCGCAAGUGGGAUCUUCUGGAUCAGGAAUCGAACCCCUGUAUCCUAGGCCACCAGGGAAGCACAUGGAUUGAUGAAUUAGAAAAUUUUUUUAUACUGAUUUUAAAGGUUACACUUCAUUUAUGGUUAUUGCAAAAUACUGGCUAUAUUC